CCCUUAGAUGUUCUGGGCCGCACGCGCGCUACACUGAUGCAUUCAACGAGCCUAUCCUUGACCGACAGGUCCGGGUAAUCUUUGAAUCUGCAUCGUGACGGGGAUAGAUUAUUGCAAUUAUUAAUCUUCAACGAGGAAUGCCUAGUAGGCGCAAGUCAUCAGCUUGCGUCGAUUACGUCCCUGCCCUUUGUACACACCGCCCGUCGCUCCUGCCAACUGAGAUGGGUCCUGAAUUGUUAGGAACGCCCGUCAAGGGGCCUACCCGGUCCCUAGUGCGGUGACGAGAAUAACUGUAAAUGGCAUAUCUUGUAGGGAGUAAAAGUCGUAACA
This 330-nucleotide ribosomal RNA is filed under the name uncultured eukaryote. Its description in RNAcentral is "partial 18S ribosomal RNA". It matches the Rfam family "Eukaryotic small subunit ribosomal RNA", at positions 1470 to 1796 of the family's 1831-position model. The record is from RNAcentral.